CUCGUGGUUGGUUAAGAAGUAGGUGGAGCGAAGCAAUGAUUGGCCAGAAUGCCUUAUUUCAGAAAAAAUUGGAUAAGGACGUUUGUAAGAGUUACAUUUAAAGAAAAUUCUUCUCGAUUUUUGAUAUGUGUUUAGUUGUGGUAGCAUUUA
Molecule: non-coding RNA, 150 nt
Organism: Caenorhabditis elegans
Lineage: Eukaryota; Metazoa; Nematoda; Chromadorea; Rhabditida; Rhabditidae
Source: Ensembl